This 1202-nucleotide long non-coding RNA is filed under the name Vigna radiata. RNAcentral's name for it is "long non-coding RNA (VRAD_LNC000221)". The record is from RNAcentral. Lineage: Eukaryota; Viridiplantae; Streptophyta; Magnoliopsida; Fabales; Fabaceae.
AAAGGAUGACCAGGAUCACUCUUUCUUCUUUGUCUUUAUCUUUUUUCAUUCUUCUCAUAAUCAUCUUCACUUUCUUCAUGCAACCAUUUCCAGUCACUGCAGGUAUCUCUCAUUGUUCAAUCAUCUAAAACUUUAAGAAAAAUAUUAUUUGAAUAGCACUAUAAUCAUGAUCACUUUGAAUUUAUACCAUGUAUGUUAUACAUAAAUUAUAUCUAAUGUUUAGUGUGAAAACAUAGUUUUAAAUUGUGAUGUGUGGAUGCCAACGUUGUUUCGUCAUGAUCCUUUUCAUAUUACACCAAAUUGGGUUUACAUGUUAUAGAUACUAUUAAGAGAAAGGGAUACUCUAUAGUUUUGAGUCAAUUUUAAAAUAUAUGAUAUUCUAAAUAUUUAAAAUAAUUGCAAUAUAUUAUAUAUUAUUUAAAAUAUAUUUAUAAUUUUAUUGAUAUAAAUUUGAACCCUUCCUCACUUACCAUCAGAUACCAUAAUAGUUAUAAUGCAAUCUCUAAUAUAAAAAAAAUGUACAAGUGUAAUAAUUAAAUUUGGAUAUAAUGUACGAAUACGAUUAAAAUACAUGUGUACUUGAUAUGUUUAUUUUAAAAAUAACAUAUAAUAUAAUAUAUAUAUAUAUAUAUAUAUAUAUAUAUAUAUAUAUAUNNNNNNNNNNNNNNNNNNNNNNNNNNNNNNNNNNNNNNNNNNNNNNNNNNNNNNNNUACAAUUUUCAAUUUCACAUAUCUUUUAAUUAUUAUUGAUUGAUCAUAUAUAUAUAUAUAUAUAUAUAUAUAUAUAUAUAUAUAUAUUAUAUAGUUCACAUCACAAAAACUUGUUUAAAUUUGUAGAUUUGAAGAUAAGAAAGUUGGGUGAUCAACCAAGCCCACCUCCUCCACCCAAGUGGGCAUUCGGAUUCAAACCACCCGUUUAUAGGCGUGAACCACCACGUUAUAAACCUCCACCUUCCGGCUAACUUUACCUUCGCCUCCGAUUUCCAUGGCAAAAGAUCUUCAAUUAUUAAUCAUCUAUGCUCCUUCACCUACUUUCUUUCUCAUCACGUGUCUCUGCUUUAUACUACUGGGUUAUAUGAUUAAAAUAAAUAACGUUAUCAUGUCAAAAUUUGAUUCAAUGUAGGAAACAUACUAUUUAUUGUCUAUUUUGGUAUGUCUCACUACAAAAAAAAGGUAUUUAUUGGUAGCCAUCGUUUUGUAGCG